GAUGAACGCUGGCGGCGUGCCUAAUACAUGCAAGUCGAGCGAACGGACGAGAAGCUUGCUUCUCUGAUGUUAGCGGCGGACGGGUGAGUAACACGUGGAUAACCUACCUAUAAGACUGGGAUAACUUCGGGAAACCGGAGCUAAUACCGGAUAAUAUUUUGAACCGCAUGGUUCAAAAGUGAAAGACGGUCUUGCUGUCACUUAUAGAUGGAUCCGCGCUGCAUUAGCUAGUUGGUAAGGUAACGGCUUACCAAGGCAACGAUGCAUAGCCGACCUGAGAGGGUGAGGAGUCAAAAAGGAGAAGCGGUACGGUCGAGACUAAUACUGGAGGCAGAAGUGGGGGAUAGUGCGCAAGGGGUGAAAGAUUGACGAAGUAAGUAGGAGUGAAGGAUGAAGGGUUUCGGAUCGUAAGAAUAUGUUACGGGGGAAGAACAAAAGUGGAAGUAACUGUGCAGAUCUUGAAGGUACCUAAUAAGAGAGCAACGGCUAACUGAGUG
This 497-nucleotide ribosomal RNA is filed under the name uncultured bacterium. RNAcentral describes it as "partial 16S ribosomal RNA". It matches the Rfam family "Bacterial small subunit ribosomal RNA", at positions 28 to 507 of the family's 1533-position model. The record is from RNAcentral.